Molecule: ribosomal RNA, 484 nt
Filed under: uncultured bacterium
Lineage: Bacteria
Description: partial 16S ribosomal RNA
Rfam family: Bacterial small subunit ribosomal RNA
Source: RNAcentral
AUUGAACGCUGGCGGCAGGCCUAACACAUGCAAGUCGAGCGGAUGAAGGGAGCUUGCUCCUGGAUUCAGCGGCGGACGGGUGAGUAAUGCCUAGGAAUCUGCCUGGUAGUGGGGGAUAACGUCCGGAAACGGGCGCUAAUACCGCAUACGUCCUGAGGGAGAAAGUGGGGGAUCUUCGGACCUCACGCUAUCAGAUGAGCCUAGGUCGGAUUAGCUAGUUGGUGGGGUAAAGGCCUACCAAGGCGGCGAUCCGUAACUGGUCUGAGAGGAUGAUCAGUCACACUGGAACUGAGACACGGUCCAGACUCCUACGGGAGGCAGCAGUGGGGAAUAUUGGGCAAUGGGCGAAAGCCUGAUCCAGCCAUGCCGCGUGUGUGAAGAAGGUCUUCGGAUUGUAAAGCACUUUAAGUUGGGAGGAAGGGCAGUAAGUUAAUACCUUGCUGUUUUGACGUUACCAACAGAAUAAGCACCGGCUAACUUCGUG